GUCUUUCGGACCGGACUCGGGUAUAUCUUUGAUCCGAUUCGGAUCCGAGCUCGAAAUCCAGCUCAAUUAAGAGCCUAAUCAAGUCCCUUCUCUCAGUCCCCUCCCAUCCAAAUGGAGUCUGCCCCUUCAAAUCCCUUCUCCUAGUCCCUCUUGAUCGCCCCCAUGCCCCAGCCAUUCCUAGACCUCCCUGAGGGCUCCCGCUCAUCUUUGUGUAGAAGGGCAAAGUGCAAAGCAUCCAC
Molecule: long non-coding RNA, 239 nt
Filed under: Elaeis guineensis (African oil palm)
Lineage: Eukaryota; Viridiplantae; Streptophyta; Magnoliopsida; Arecales; Arecaceae
Description: long non-coding RNA (EGUI_LNC042232)
Source: RNAcentral